GAUGAAGAACGUAGCGAAAUGCGAUAAGUAAUGUGAAUUGCAGAAUUCAGUGAAUCAUCGAAUCUUUGAACGCACAUUGCGCCCUCUGGUAUUCCGGGGGGCAUGCCUGUUCGAGCGUCAUUAUAACCACUCAAGCUCUCGCUUGGUAUUGGGGUUCGCGGUUUCGCGGCCCCUAAAAUCAGUGGCGGUGCCUGUCGGCUCUACGCGUAGUAAUACUCCUCGCGAUUGAGUCCGGUAGGUCUACUUGCCAGCAACCCCUAAUUUUUUAAGGUUGACCUCGGAUCAGGUAGGGAUACCCGCUGAACUUAAGCAUAUCAAUAAGCGGAGGA
This 329-nucleotide unclassified non-coding RNA is filed under the name soil metagenome. RNAcentral's name for it is "partial contains 5.8S ribosomal RNA, internal transcribed spacer 2, and large subunit ribosomal RNA". The stretch from base 1 to 120 matches the Rfam family "5.8S ribosomal RNA", at positions 35 to 154 of the family's 154-position model. The record is from RNAcentral.